CUUCCUUCGGGGUCUCUCACUGGAGUCCAAUCAGAGUCUCUUACGAGGGUUAAUGCCACAGACAGGAAGCAGCUCUCACAGCAAACAGGAAACAGUCGAGUACAUCAAGGAGAAGAUCAGGGAGAAUCCAUCUCCAGAGAAAUCCAUCAAUCUGUUCCACUGUCUGAAUGAACUGAAUGAUCAUUCUCUAGUGCAGGAAGUACAGACUUACCUGAACAGAGGAGGUCUCAGUCGUCUCAGGGGAACCAGACUCUCUCCUGCUCAGUGGUCAGCUCUGGUGUUUGUGUUACUGAACUCAGAUCAGGAGCUGGAUGUAUUUGAUUUGAGUAAAUAUUACCCAUCAGAGGAAUGUCUUCUGAAGCUGCUGCCAGUGGUCAAAGCCUCCAGAAGAGCUGUGCUGUGUUGGUGUGAUCUGACAGAGGAAAGCUGUAGAGUUCUGUCCUCAGUUCUCAGAUCAAACUCCAGACUGAGAGAACUAGACCUGAGUGACAAUAACCUGCAGGAUUCAGGAGUGAAGCUGCUCUCUGCUGGACUGGAGAAUCCACACUGUACACUGGAGAUACUGAGGUACACACACACACACACACACACACACUCUGUACACUGGAGAUACUGAGGUACACACACACACUGUACACUGGAGAUACUGAGGUACACACUCACACUCACUGUACACUGGAGAUACUGAGGUACACACACACACACAGAUUAUAAUAAUAAUAACUUUAUUUAUAUAGCACUUUUCAUACAUAAAAUGCAGCUCAAAGUGCUUCACAAUGCAAAGGAAUCAAAAACACGCUGUUUUCCUGUGUGUGUCUCUUUAAAUGCAAAUGAGCUGCUGUGCCCCGCCCCCUUUCCGGAAGAGAACAGCUCCUGUUUCGGGUACUACAUUAGCCGUGGAAUCUGCUAACAAGCUCAUUCGGAAAGGCUGUGUGGGUGUAAUCUGACACAGGAAAGCUGUAGAGUUCUGUCCUCAGUUCUCAGAUCAAACUCCUCCAGACCGAGAGAACUGAACCUGAGUGUCAGUAACCUGCAGGAUUCAGGAGUGAAGCUGCUCUCUGCUGGACUGGAGAAUCCACACUGUACACUGGAGAUACUGAGACACACACACACACACACUCACACUCACACUCACUCACUCUGUACACUGGAGAUACUGAGGUACUCACUCACACACACACACUGAGGUACACACACACACAGGAGAUACUGAGGUACACAUACACACACAC
This is an RNA transcript of Ictalurus punctatus (channel catfish), 1232 nucleotides long. It is a transcript of the gene named ribonuclease inhibitor-like, with no coding region annotated. The record is from RefSeq and is a predicted model, not a curated record. Lineage: Eukaryota; Metazoa; Chordata; Actinopteri; Siluriformes; Ictaluridae. The transcript has 3 exons.